Molecule: long non-coding RNA, 822 nt
Filed under: Cricetulus griseus (Chinese hamster)
Lineage: Eukaryota; Metazoa; Chordata; Mammalia; Rodentia; Cricetidae
Description: lncRNA (ENSCGRG00015041762.1)
Source: RNAcentral
CGUAAGCCCUGGCUAGGAAACUGUCAAUAGUGUUUCCAUCCAAAGAUCCUUAGUCACUUGUGCAAGGCCUUUGCCAUCUAAGUAACAGACAGAACCUUUGAGAGCACUGCCAAGAAGGUUACAGUCUGAGACACAGAAACAUGGAAGUCAAACAAAGAAGUGCAACCAAGGAGAGACUUAACAGCUGAGAGCUUGGAAAGAUGUUUAAAGGGCAGGUACUGGAUUCUGGGCAGACUGCUGAGAAAACAAGUGAGCCAAGGGUGCGUGUGUUGGAGGAGGAGUGCCAGUUAAGAGGUGAUUACAAGAAGUCUCAAGAACCUGUGCUGAUGAAUUUGGGAACAAAGCAGGGUACUCAGGUGAUGCUGUAAUCAGUUGACCCAAGUUAAAGAUCAUAGCAGCAGCUGGUGGAAGUAGAAGCAGACACCCACAGCUAAACCUUGGACUGAACUGAAAUCCAGAUGCAGAGAAUGAGGACUGAUGAGCAAAGGGGUCCAUACCAGGCUGGUGAAACCCACAGAAACAGCUGAUCUGAACAAGGGAAAACUCUUGCUCCCCAAACUGAUAGCUGGGAAACCAGCAUGGGACUGAUCCAGACCCCCUGAAUGUGGAUGUCAGUGAGGAGACCUUGGGAAUCUAUGGGGCUUCUUGUAGUGAAUCAGUACUUAUUGCUACCAUAGGAAUGGACUUUAGGAGCCCAUCCCACAUGGAGGGAUACUCCCUGAGCCUAGAUACAAGAGGGUUGGCCUAGGCCCUAUCCCAAAGAAUAUGACAGACUUGGAAGACCCCCCAUGGAAGUCCUCACCCUCCCUGGGGAGCAGAAAG